UAGCUUGGCGGCAGCUACACAUGCAGUCGAGCGGUAACAGAUCCAGCUUGCUGGAUGCUGACGAGCGGCGGACGGGUGAGUAAUGCAUAGGAAUCUGCCCGAUAGUGGGGGAUAACCUGGGGAAACCCAGGCUAAUACCGCAUACGUCCUACGGGAGAAAGGGGGCUUCGGCUCCCGCUAUCGGAUGAGCCUAUGUCGGAUUAGCUAGUUGGUGAGGUAACGGCUCACCAAGGCCACGAUCCGUAGCUGGUCUGAGAGGAUGAUCAGCCACAUCGGGACUGAGACACGGCCCGAACUCCUACGGGAGGCAGCAGUGGGGAAUAUUGGACAAUGGGGGGAACCCUGAUCCAGCCAUGCCGCGUGUGUGAAGAAGGCCCUCGGGUUGUAAAGCACUUUCAGCGAGGAAGAACGCCUAGCGGUUAAUACCCGCUAGGAAAGACAUCACUCGCAGAAGAAGCACCGGCUAACUCCGUGCCAGCAGCCGCGGUAAUACGGAGGGUGCAAGCGUUAAUCGGAAUUACUGGGCGUAAAGCGCGCGUAGGUGGCUUGAUAAGCCGGUUGUGAAAGCCCCGGGCUCAACCUGGGAACGGCAUCCGGAACUGUCAAGCUAGAGUGCAAGAGAGGAAGGUAGAAUUCCCGGUGUAGCGGUGAAAUGCGUAUAGAUCGAGAGGAAUACCAGUGGCGAAGGCGGCCUUCUGGACUGACACUGACACUGAGGUGCGAAAGCGUGGGUAGCAAACAGGAUUAGGCCCC
Molecule: ribosomal RNA, 753 nt
Filed under: Vreelandella aquamarina
Lineage: Bacteria; Pseudomonadati; Pseudomonadota; Gammaproteobacteria; Oceanospirillales; Halomonadaceae
Description: bacterial SSU rRNA
Rfam family: Bacterial small subunit ribosomal RNA
Source: RNAcentral